CAGCACUUUGCCAACUCGUAAGAGGAAGUAUAAGGUGUGACGCCUGCCCGGUGCUCGAAGGUUAAGAGGAUGCGUCAGUCGCAAGAUGAAGCGUUGAAUUGAAGCCCGAGUAAACGGCGGCCGUAACUAUAACGGUCCUAAGGUAGCGAAAUUCCUUGUCGGUUAAAUACCGACCUGCAUGAAUGGCGUAACGAGAUGGGAGCUGUCUCAACCAGAGAUUCAGUGAAAUUGUAGUGGAGGUGAAAAUUCCUCCUACCCGCGGCAAGACGGAAAGACCCCGUGGACCUUUACUACAACUUAGCACUGCUAAUGGGAAUAUCAUGCGC
This 326-nucleotide ribosomal RNA is filed under the name Helicobacter pylori. RNAcentral describes it as "bacterial LSU rRNA". It matches the Rfam family "Bacterial large subunit ribosomal RNA", at positions 1816 to 2139 of the family's 2925-position model. Lineage: Bacteria; Pseudomonadati; Campylobacterota; Epsilonproteobacteria; Campylobacterales; Helicobacteraceae. The record is from RNAcentral.